Molecule: ribosomal RNA, 461 nt
Filed under: uncultured bacterium
Lineage: Bacteria
Description: partial 16S ribosomal RNA
Rfam family: Bacterial small subunit ribosomal RNA
Source: RNAcentral
CCUACGGGAGGCAGCAGUGAGGAAUAUUGGUCAAUGGGCGCGAGCCUGAACCAGCCAAGUCGCGUGAGGGAUGACGGUCCUACGGAUUGUAAACCUCUUUUGCCGGGGAGCAAGCGUGCGUUCGUGAACGCGCGUCGAGAGUACCCGGAGAAAAAGCAUCGGCUAACUCCGUGCCAGCAGCCGCGGUAAUACGGAGGGGGCAAGCGUUAUCCGGAUUUACUGGGUGUAAAGGGAGCGUAGACGGUGCGCCAAGUCAGGAGUGAAAUGUCGCGGCUUAACUGCGGAAUUGCUUUGGAAACUGGCGGACUAGAGUGCGGGAGGGGUAAGCGGAAUUCCUAGUGUAGCGGUGAAAUGCGUAGAUAUUAGGAGGAACACCGGUGGCGAAGGCAGCUUACUGGACCGUAACUGACGUUGAGGCUCGAAAGCGUGGGGAGCAAACAGGAUUAGAUACCCGGGUAGUC